UGGAGGUUCGGAGCCAGGGG
Molecule: unclassified non-coding RNA, 20 nt
Filed under: Mus musculus (house mouse)
Lineage: Eukaryota; Metazoa; Chordata; Mammalia; Rodentia; Muridae
Description: oocyte_clustered_small_RNA11658
Source: RNAcentral